Long non-coding RNA from Drosophila albomicans, 479 nucleotides. RefSeq lists it as uncharacterized. The transcript has 2 exons. NCBI's taxonomy places the organism in Eukaryota, Metazoa, Arthropoda, Insecta, Diptera, Drosophilidae. The record is from RefSeq and is a predicted model, not a curated record.
CACAAAUGCCAAUAAACUGGGAACGAAUGCUGGCGCGCGGAUUUGAGCGGAAUUCAAGACCCAGACAGAAGCCCAUCACAAACUUGUGACACGCAACGGCGCCAAGCAAAAAGAGCACCUGAGAGAGAAAUAGAGAAGACAAAUCUAGAUUGUGGCGGCAAACUAAAUUCAUUAAAAGAAGACCAAAUUAUGUCAAGGCGUGUGCGCAAACCUUUGUGGCCGAAUUUUGUACACCAAUCGCCAAUCCCUCGAUGGCCGAGUGCAACGACAACGCCACAAACAAGCCCAAUGUGCCGGUCAUAGUUUGUGCACAUGGCUCUGUGUGGCUGGUGUGACAAAUUCGGGCAUUCGCAUCCUCCACACUGUCAUCAUUGCAACCGGAAGCACCAAUGGCAACAUAAUCGCGAUCAUGACCGCUAAAACAAAAGGCAAUGCCAAACAAUUAAUACAAUUGAUUUAAAAUAUACAUAUGUAAUUGA